Molecule: long non-coding RNA, 734 nt
Organism: Carya illinoinensis
Lineage: Eukaryota; Viridiplantae; Streptophyta; Magnoliopsida; Fagales; Juglandaceae
Exons: 3
Source: RefSeq, a predicted model, not a curated record
CCACCUUGGGCACCCUUAGGGGCAGCCUGAUUUGUGCCCCCCUCAGGAGGUCCUUGUGGGGCCACCCUCGGUGACCCAAUCUGGGUCACAACGAUGUGGCCGGGUGGUGGUUAUAUGACCAGAGGUGGCCGUGCGCCACCGAUAUCUAAUAUAUAUGUAUAUAUUUUAUAGACACAAUAGAAGUCAAUGACUCACAAGGAACAUGCUCUUUAUUCUAAAAUAAGUUUUUUAAUUAGUAUUAUCUGGUUUAGGUUUCUUCUUAGUUAAAGACUUUUUUUUAUUUCUACUAUUUUUGAAAAACUUUCAUUAUUUAAUUUUUAUUUUUGUUUUUCAGUUUUUACAAUUUUCUGGAGUCUUUGAUAAUUUUGUUCAUUAUUUUUUAUAUUUUAUAGAUAAUAUUUGUCAAGUAGCACAUAUCAAUUACUCCUUGGUGCUGAUGUGGGAUCUCCAACAGUUCACUAACGAAAUACUGACGGAGAGACCAAUUUGAUCAAACUUACAACCACAUAAAGCACCCACAGGUCAUGAAUAGACACCAACAGUUCUUGCAAUGAAUUCUGCAAUUUUGCAACCUCCUGUGCCUUCGCUUCCUCUAGGUAAAAUCAACUACAAUAGCCACUGAGAUCACAGAACCAAAGUACCUUAAAACGAGAACCGAUUGAAGAAAACUUGGAAGAUUUAGUCGUCUCUUCUGGAAGUGGAGGGAAAAGGCCUGCUACAAAAGGACAUUUGGA